UAACAAGAAAGAGUAAAUUCUGAUUUUAAUUUCGACUUAAAGUAAGGUGUAGACCCUUGUUAA
This 63-nucleotide transfer RNA is filed under the name Nymphon unguiculatum-charcoti complex sp. SEM-1997. RNAcentral's name for it is "tRNA-Arg". The record is from RNAcentral. Lineage: Eukaryota; Metazoa; Arthropoda; Pycnogonida; Pantopoda; Nymphonidae.